This 757-nucleotide long non-coding RNA is filed under the name Mus musculus (house mouse). RNAcentral's name for it is "predicted gene, 50367". Lineage: Eukaryota; Metazoa; Chordata; Mammalia; Rodentia; Muridae. The record is from RNAcentral.
ACAGAACGUUUCCCAGUGUUAGUCUGAGUUUAUGAGAUGGUACCAAGCCUGUGUAUGAGGCACUGAGGUGCCCAUCAGUAGGCAUGUACCUGCAGGGUGUCUUCAGGCUAUAGGAUGCUGGGAGAAGGGUUUAGUCUCUUGCUCCUGUACCUUUUCCUCUUGGGAGGAGCUGUGGGCUCGUGCUGAGAGAUCACAGGCCUGGCUGAUGACCUGCCUUGCAUGCUAGGUGCCUGCAGGCCCUGCAGUGAUGCCGAGCUCCUCCUGGCUGCAUGCACCAGUGAUUUUGGUGCUGGCGGCCCACCAAUGUGGUCUCCGUCCAGCUAUGGGAUAUGAGCUGAACCCGUGGCUUGUGGGACUUGCACGGCUGCAUGCCUGGAGAGCCGGUUGUUCUGCGAGUGUCUGCUACCAUCGAAAAGAUCUCUGGAAGGUGAGCCUCAGGGACUGUCACAACGUGUCUGUGUUCCUGGCUCCCAGUGUGCUCCAACUGCUGGAGGACAAACUGCAAGCAGAGCUCCCUGUGGGGGCCCGUGUGGUAUCUGGACGAUUCCCCCUUCCCACCUGGCAGCCUGUAGCUGUGGUGGGCGAGGGCACUGACAGAGUUUGGGCCUAUGAUGUCCAUGGUUCUGGGCCAACUGUGUCUUCUUGUGGGGUGCCCAUCAAGGCCAUCCCAGAGUCCAGUUCUACCUUAGUCCCUAGAGCCCCUGUUUGACAAACUGGCUGACUGGAUAAAAUAAAGACUCUGUGGGUUCAAUCCUGA